Stomoxys calcitrans (stable fly) is the source of this 656-nucleotide long non-coding RNA. RefSeq lists it as uncharacterized. The record is from RefSeq and is a predicted model, not a curated record. Lineage: Eukaryota; Metazoa; Arthropoda; Insecta; Diptera; Muscidae. The transcript is spliced from 2 exons.
CCAAUAUCUAGCUAAACAAAUGUGAGACAUAAAUAUCAAUUCUUAGAGCAAGAUAUUUAUCUUAAAAUAAGUUGGCAAAUCAAGCAUAUGAAAAAUUUUCUUCGGUCGUUGACGCUCCAAAAAAUACAUGAAUCAAAUAUGAAAUAUUAAGGUAUCCCCCAUCAUGAGCCUGGCGAGACGAACAUUUCCAUCUCUCGACAUUUAGAGGGUCAUUAACACUUAAAUGUGGAUGACAAUGAAGAAAGAAGAAACCAACAGCACGACAAUAUCGUCGUCGAGAAAGAGUAUGAGUAUCAAUAAAAAACCCAAAAAUAUAGAUACAGCUCCGUAAUGACUUCCAUAAAUUUCCCAUAUUCAUUAAGUUAUCACACGACAUUGCAGCGAAACUAAGGCGAGAAAUCGAUGAAAAUGAAAACGCAAUGCAAGAAAAUUGUUUUCACAAUAAAACGCUUCGAAAAUCCAAAAGAAGAACUAAGACGGGGAAAAAAGACCAACUGAGCUUUAAUCUCUUUUUGUUUUUGUUCGCCUCCAUUUGACUUUUAUGUGACCACUACUUGGAAGGAGUCAAUAUGAAAGUGUAUUAAGUUUAUUGGAAGACUUUGUUACAUUUUGUGAGUCAAUUGACAGACUAUUAUACUCCAAUGGGAAAACUUGUA